AUGGAUUCGUUGCGGAAUGAUGGCUAUGGAAACAACGACCUUGAUGAAUUCAUAUUCAACGAGUUCAUCGCCUCAUCGGAUUCGGACCAUAGAGAUGCUGAAAUGAUGAUGAUGAUGAUGAGCAUCCGAGAGGAGAUGGAGAAGGCAGAGGAGCACGUCCUAAACUUCAAGGGCUCCAUGAGGGGGCGGAGAGUUAUUUCCCAUGAUAGGUUUUCUAGUGCACGGUUUCUAUACACGGACUACUUCAUGACGGACCCAACAUAUCUUGAAGUUUUUUUUUUCGAUGUCGCUUCUGAAUGA
Molecule: ribosomal RNA, 300 nt
Filed under: Triticum aestivum (bread wheat)
Lineage: Eukaryota; Viridiplantae; Streptophyta; Magnoliopsida; Poales; Poaceae
Description: partial small subunit ribosomal RNA
Source: RNAcentral